RNAcentral lists this ribosomal RNA (585 nucleotides) under uncultured archaeon. RNAcentral's name for it is "bacterial SSU rRNA". It matches the Rfam family "Archaeal small subunit ribosomal RNA", at positions 1 to 587 of the family's 1478-position model. The record is from RNAcentral.
UUCCGGUUGAUCCUGCCGGAGGCCAUUGCUAUCGGAGUCCGAUUUAGCCAUGCUAGUCGUGCGAGUUCAGACUCGCGGCACCGAGCUCAGUAACACGUGGCCAAACUACCCUACAGAGACGGAUACCCUCGGGAAACUGAGGUUAACCCGUCAUACCGAUCUCAGGCUUGAAUCGCAGAGAUCACAAAAUGCCCCGGCGCUGUAGGAUGUGGCUGCGGUUGGUUAGGUAGACGGUGGGGUAACGGCCCACCGUGCCCAUAAUCAGUACAGGUUGUGAGAGCAAGAACCUGGAGACGGAAUCUGAGACAAGAUUCCGGGCCCUACGGGGCGCAGCAGGCGCGAAACCUUUACACUGCACGCACGUGCGAUAAGGGGACUCCGAGUGCGAGGGCAUAUCGUCCUCGCUUUCGUGUACCGUAGGGUGGUACACCAACAAGGGCUGGGCAAGACCGGUGCCAGCCGCCGCGGUAAUACCGGCAGCCCGAGUGAUGGCCGAUCUUAUUGGGCCUAAAGCGUCCGUAGCUGGCUGCGCAAGUCCGUCGGGAAAUCCACUCGCCCAACGAGUGGGCGUCCGACGGAAACUGC